AUGACAAGGCCGAAGAAAGAUGGGGGGAUGGGAUUCAGAGACAUCUAUGGAUUUAAUUUAGCCAUGUUGGCCCGACAGGCUUGGCGCAUGCUGUCCACGCCGGAUUCCUUGUGCGCCCGAGUGCUAAAGGCAAGAUAUUUCCCAAACACUUCCAUUCUUGAUGCAAUACCACACCCGGGCAUCUCCUAUACAUGGAGGAGCAUUUUGAAGGGGGUG
RNAcentral lists this ribosomal RNA (216 nucleotides) under Triticum aestivum (bread wheat). RNAcentral describes it as "partial small subunit ribosomal RNA". The record is from RNAcentral. Lineage: Eukaryota; Viridiplantae; Streptophyta; Magnoliopsida; Poales; Poaceae.